CAACCUGCCGAUGACUCGGGGAUAGUCUUUCGAAAGAAAGAUUAAUACCCGAUGGCAUAGUUCUUCCGCAUGGUAGAACUAUUAAAGAAUUUCGGUCAUCGAUGGGGAUGCGUUCCAUUAGGUUGUUGGCGGGGUAACGGCCCACCAAGCCUUCGAUGGAUAGGGGUUCUGAGAGGAAGGUCCCCCACAUUGGAACUGAGACACGGUCCAAACUCCUACGGGAGGCAGCAGUGAGGAAUAUUGGUCAAUGGACGAGAGUCUGAACCAGCCAAGUAGCGUGAAGGAUGACUGCCCUAUGGGUUGUAAACUUCUUUUAUACGGGAAUAAAGUGAGGCACGUGUGCCUUUUUGUAUGUACCGUAUGAAUAAGGAUCGGCUAACUCCGUGCCAGCAGCCGCGGUAAUACGGAGGAUCCGAGCGUUAUCCGGGUUUAUUGGGUUUAAAGGGAGCGUAGGCGGACGCUUAAGUCAGUUGUGAAAGUUUGCGGCUCAACCGUAAAAUUGCAGUUGAUACUGGGUGUCUUGAGUACAGUAGAGGCAGGCGGAAUUCGUGGUGUAGCGGUGAAAUGCUUAGAUAUCACGAAGAACUCCGAUUG
RNAcentral lists this ribosomal RNA (594 nucleotides) under uncultured Bacteroidota bacterium. RNAcentral describes it as "bacterial SSU rRNA". It matches the Rfam family "Bacterial small subunit ribosomal RNA", at positions 122 to 715 of the family's 1533-position model. The record is from RNAcentral. Lineage: Bacteria; Pseudomonadati; Bacteroidota.